This 440-nucleotide ribosomal RNA is filed under the name uncultured bacterium. RNAcentral describes it as "bacterial SSU rRNA". It matches the Rfam family "Bacterial small subunit ribosomal RNA", at positions 355 to 810 of the family's 1533-position model. The record is from RNAcentral.
UGGGGAAUCUUGGACAAUGGGGGCAACCCUGAUCCAGCCAUGCCGCGUGAGUGAUGAAGGCCUUAGGGUCGUAAAGCUCUUUCGCCUGUGAAGAUAAUGACGGUAGCAGGUAAAGAAACCCCGGCUAACUCCGUGCCAGCAGCCGCGGUAAUACGGAGGGGGUUAGCGUUGUUCGGAAUUACUGGGCGUAAAGCGCACGUAGGCGGACCAGAAAGUUGGGGGUGAAAUCCCGGGGGCUCAACCCCGGAACUGCCUCCAAAACUAUUGGUCUAGAGUUCGAGAGAGGUGAGUGGAAUUCCAAGUGUAGAGGUGAAAUUCGUAGAUAUUCGGAGGAACACCAGUGGCGAAGGCGGCUCACUGGCUCGAUACUGACGCUGAGGUGCGAAAGUGUGGGGAGCAAACAGGAUUAGGAUACCCUGGUAGUCCACACCGUAAACGAU